CCUUGACAUACUAAGAACUUCCAGAGAUGGAUUGGUGCCUUCGGGAACUUAGAUACAGGUGCUGCAUGGCUGUCGUCAGCUCGUGUCGUGAGAUGUUGGGUUAAGUCCCGNAACGAGCGCAACCCUUUUCCUUAUUUGCCAGCGGGUCAUGCCGGGAACUUUAAGGAUACUGCCAGUGACAAACUGGAGGAAGGCGGGGACGACGUCAAGUCAUCAUGGCCCUUACGGCCAGGGCUACACACGUGCUACAAUGGUCGGUACAAAGGGUUGCUACCUCGCGAGAGGAUGCUAAUCUCAAAAAGCCGAUCGUAGUCCGGAUCGCAGUCUGCAACUCGACUGCGUGAAGUCGGAAUCGCUAGUAAUCGCGGAUCAGAAUGCCGCGGUCGAAUACGUUCCCGGGCCUUGUACACACCGCCCGUCACACCAUGGGAGUUUGUUGCACCAGAAGUAGGUAGUCUAACCGCAAGGAGGACGCUUACCACGGUGUGGCCGAUGACUGGGGUGAAGUCGUAACAAGGUAAGCGUAGAUGA
Molecule: ribosomal RNA, 531 nt
Filed under: uncultured bacterium
Lineage: Bacteria
Description: bacterial SSU rRNA
Rfam family: Bacterial small subunit ribosomal RNA
Source: RNAcentral